RNAcentral lists this ribosomal RNA (198 nucleotides) under uncultured bacterium. RNAcentral's name for it is "partial 16S ribosomal RNA". It matches the Rfam family "Bacterial small subunit ribosomal RNA", at positions 328 to 539 of the family's 1533-position model. The record is from RNAcentral.
ACGCUCGACACCUACGGGGGGCAGCAGUGGGGAAUAUUGCACAAUGGGGGAAACCCUGAUGCAGCGACGCCGCGUGGAGGAAGAAGGUCUUCGGAUUGUAAACUCCUGUUGUUGGGGAAAAAGAGGAUGGUACCCAACAAGGAAGUGACGGCUAACUACGUGCCAGUAGCCGCGGUAAUCUGAGCGGGCUGGCAAGGC